GUCGCUGUGGCGAAACCGGCAGACGCAGCAGACUUAAAAUCUGCUGGGGCGUAAUCCCCGUGCGGGUUCGAGUCCCGCCAGCGACA
RNAcentral lists this transfer RNA (86 nucleotides) under Planctomycetaceae bacterium. RNAcentral describes it as "tRNA-Leu". It matches the Rfam family "tRNA". From Rfam's summary of the family: Transfer RNA (tRNA) molecules are approximately 80 nucleotides in length. The record is from RNAcentral. Lineage: Bacteria; Pseudomonadati; Planctomycetota; Planctomycetia; Planctomycetales; Planctomycetaceae.